RNAcentral lists this long non-coding RNA (284 nucleotides) under Solanum tuberosum (potato). Its description in RNAcentral is "long non-coding RNA (STUB_LNC006030)". The record is from RNAcentral. Lineage: Eukaryota; Viridiplantae; Streptophyta; Magnoliopsida; Solanales; Solanaceae.
GUGGAGCUGCAGUUAAAACAACUUGAUUGUGAAAUUCUAAUCCGUAAGAAGGAGGCACUACCACAACCACCUGCUCCUGCUCCUGCACAAGCUCCAUUUAUACAAUCAUAUCAUGUACCAUCUGUACAAUCUAAUGCACCUCCUCCACCUGCACCUGCACCUGCUCCAAUUCAAACCCCUGCACCUUCUCCAGCUGCAGCAAAGUCAGCUGAUUCAUCUCUUCCACCGCUCAAAUCCCCAAUGGCAGGGACAUUCUAUAGAAGUCCAGCACCCAGUGAACCAGC